CCUACGGGUGGCAGCAGUGAGGAAUAUUGGUCAAUGGUCGGAAGUCUGAACCAGCCACGCCGCGUGCAGGACGACGGCUCUAUGAGUUGUAAACUGCUUUUGUACAAGGGUAAAUCUGAAUACGUGUAUUCAGCUGAAAGUACUGUACGAAUAAGGAUCGGCUAACUCCGUACCAGCAGCCGCGGUAAUACGGAGGAUCCAAGCGUUAUCCGGAUUUAUUGGGUGUAAAGGGUGCGUAGGCGGAUUGGUAAGUUAGAGGUGAAAUGUCAGAGCUUAACUCUAGAACUGCCUCUAAUACUGUUGUUCUAGAGAGUGGGUGAGGUAGGCGGAAUGUAUGGUGUAGCGGUGAAAUGCUUAGAGAUCAGAAAGAACACCGAUUGCGAAGGCAGCUUACCAGUCUAUAUCUGACGUUGAGGCACGAAAGCGUGGGGAGCAAACAGGAUUAGAUACCCGAGUAGUC
This 460-nucleotide ribosomal RNA is filed under the name uncultured bacterium. RNAcentral's name for it is "partial 16S ribosomal RNA". It matches the Rfam family "Bacterial small subunit ribosomal RNA", at positions 338 to 795 of the family's 1533-position model. The record is from RNAcentral.